RNAcentral lists this ribosomal RNA (253 nucleotides) under uncultured bacterium. RNAcentral describes it as "partial 16S ribosomal RNA". It matches the Rfam family "Bacterial small subunit ribosomal RNA", at positions 524 to 776 of the family's 1533-position model. The record is from RNAcentral.
GACGGAGGGGGCUAGCGUUGUUCGGAAUUACUGGGCGUAAAGAGCGCGUAGGCGGAUUGGUAAGUUGGAAGUGAAAUCCCGGAGCUUAACUUCGGAACUGCUUUCAAAACUGCUAGUCUUGAGUAUAGUAGGGGAUGACGGAAUUCCUAGUGUAGAGGUGAAAUUCUUAGAUAUUAGGAGGAACACCGAUGGCGAAGGCAGUCAUCUGGGCUAUAACUGACGCUGAUGCGCGAAAGCGUGGGGAGCAAACAGG